UACGGGGGGGGCAAGCGUUGUUCGGAAUUACUGGGCGUAAAGGGUUCGUAGGUGGCUCGCUAAGUCACACGUGAAAUCCCUCAGCUUAACUGGGGAACUGCGUGUGAGACUGGCAAGCUCGAGUGCAGGAGAGGAAUGCGGAAUUCCGGGUGUAGCGGUGGAAUGCGUAGAGAGUCCGGAAGAACACCGGUGGCGAAGGCGGCCUGCUGGGCAGUAGCUGACACUGAGGCGCGACAGCGUGGGGAGCAAACAGG
This 254-nucleotide ribosomal RNA is filed under the name uncultured bacterium. RNAcentral describes it as "partial 16S ribosomal RNA". It matches the Rfam family "Bacterial small subunit ribosomal RNA", at positions 524 to 776 of the family's 1533-position model. The record is from RNAcentral.